RNAcentral lists this transfer RNA (69 nucleotides) under Ictidomys tridecemlineatus (thirteen-lined ground squirrel). RNAcentral's name for it is "Spermophilus tridecemlineatus (thirteen-lined ground squirrel) tRNA". It matches the Rfam family "tRNA". Rfam says of the family: Transfer RNA (tRNA) molecules are approximately 80 nucleotides in length. Lineage: Eukaryota; Metazoa; Chordata; Mammalia; Rodentia; Sciuridae. The record is from Rfam by way of RNAcentral.
GGGGUUGUGGCUCAGUAGUAGAGGGCUUGCCUUGCAAACAUGGAACACUGGGUUCGAUCCCCAGCACCA